RNAcentral lists this ribosomal RNA (253 nucleotides) under uncultured bacterium. RNAcentral's name for it is "partial 16S ribosomal RNA". It matches the Rfam family "Bacterial small subunit ribosomal RNA", at positions 524 to 776 of the family's 1533-position model. The record is from RNAcentral.
UACGAAGGGGGCUAGCGUUGCUCGGAAUUACUGGGCGUAAAGCGCACGUAGGCGGCUUUCUAAGUCGGGGGUGAAAUCCUGGAGCUCAACUCCAGAACUGCCUUCGAUACUGGAGAGCUUGAGUCCGGGAGAGGUGAGUGGGACUGCGAGUGUAGAGGUGAAAUUCGUAGAUAUUCGCAAGAACACCAGUGGCGAAGGCGGCUCACUGGCCCGGUACUGACGCUGAGGUGCGAAAGCGUGGGGAGCAAACAGG